This 253-nucleotide ribosomal RNA is filed under the name uncultured bacterium. RNAcentral's name for it is "partial 16S ribosomal RNA". It matches the Rfam family "Bacterial small subunit ribosomal RNA", at positions 524 to 776 of the family's 1533-position model. The record is from RNAcentral.
UACGUAGGUGGCAAGCGUUGUUCGGAAUUAUUGGGCGUAAAGGGCGCGUAGGCGGCUUGUUAAGUCGGCUGUGAAAGCCCGGGGCUCAACCCCGGAGGGUCAGCCGAUACUGCGGGGCUAGAGUGCAGAAGGGGCAACUGGAAUUCUCGGUGUAGCGGUGAAAUGCGUAGAUAUCGAGAGGAACACCUGCGGCGAAGGCGGGUUGCUGGGCUGACACUGACGCUGAGGCGCGAAAGCUAGGGGAGCGAACGGG